AGUCAUAUGCUUGUCUCAAAGAUUAAGCCAUGCAUGUCUCAGUACAAGCCGAAUUAAGGUGAAACCGCGAAAGGCUCAUUAAAUCAGUUAUGGUUCCUUAGAUCGUACCCACAUUUACUUGGAUAACUGUGGUAAUUCUAGAGCUAAUACAUGCAAACAGAGCUCCGACCGGAGACGGAAGGAGCGCUUUUAUUAGAUCAAAACCAAUCGGCGGCGGGCUCGCCCGUCGUCGUACCCACUGGUGAAUCUGAAUAACUUUCUGCUGAUCGCAUGGUCUCGCACCGGCGACGCAUCUUUCAAAUGUCUGCCUUAUCAACUGUCGAUGGUAGGUUCUGCGCCUACCAUGGUUGUAACGGGUAACGGGGAAUCAGGGUUCGAUUCCGGAGAGGGAGCCUGAGAAACGGCUACCACAUCCAAGGAAGGCAGCAGGCGCGCAAAUUACCCACUCCCGGCACGGGGAGGUAGUGACGAAAAAUAACGAUACGGGACUCAUCCGAGGCCCCGUAAUCGGAAUGAGUACAAUCUAAACCCUUUAACGAGGACCAAUUGGAGGGCAAGUCUGGUGCCAGCAGCCGCGGUAAUUCCAGCUCCAAUAGCGUAU
This 601-nucleotide ribosomal RNA is filed under the name Buprestis sp. FC_C01. RNAcentral describes it as "SSU rRNA". It matches the Rfam family "Eukaryotic small subunit ribosomal RNA", at positions 22 to 602 of the family's 1831-position model. Lineage: Eukaryota; Metazoa; Arthropoda; Insecta; Coleoptera; Buprestidae. The record is from RNAcentral.